AAAUUUAUUUAUUUAGCAUUUUGUCAGGUACAAGAAAUAUUUGCCUACAGGGAGAAAACCACCACCACCACCAAUCCUACUACUAUAUGCACUAUAUUAAGCACAUGAGUUGAUCAAGGGGAAAAAAGUUAGUUUCUCCAAUUCAUGGGCUUUGAGAUUUUAAACGUUUUCUUAAAUCAAUAAUGGAGAAAUUUAAACAACCAAAACUUUGAAUUAAGGAUGGGAAACAGGGCUGAUUUUAAAAAUGGAAAUAUCACAUAAUAUGUCUGUUUGAAAUGGAAACAUGACAAAAAUUUGAAAAUAGUUAAAUAUUUUGAGAAUUCAGUUGGCUUCAAUUGUUAUUUUCUAUUAGUGACGGAUAUCACAAACAAAAGACAGUCCUUAUUUAUUUGUUAUUAGGAUUUAUAUAUAUACACACAUAUAAAGACUAUAUAGACUAUAUAUAUAUAUACUGCAUUAUAUAUAUAUGGAAUAUAUAUAUGUUUGUGUAUAUAUAUAUGUUUGUAUGUAUGUGUGUGUAUAUAUAUAUGUUUGUUCUCAUGCUGCUGUAAAGAAGUGUCCAAGACUGAGUAAUAUAUAAAGGAAAAAGAUUCAAUCCACUCACAGUUCCACAUGACUGAGGAAGCCUCAGGAAAUGUACAAUCAUGGUGGAAGGGGAAGCAAACCCAUCCUUCUUCACUUGAUGGCAGGAAGGAGAAAUUCUGAGCAAAAGGGGGAAAAGCCCCUUUUGCAACCAUGAGGUCUUGGGAGAACUCACUCACUAUCAUGAAAACAUCUGUAUGGGAUUACCGCCCCCAUGAUUCAAUUUCAGUUACCUCCUACCAGGUCCCUCUCAUAACACAUGGGGGUUAUGGGAACUACAUUCAAGAUGAGAUUUGGGUGGGGACACAGCCAAACCAUACAUAUAUACAUAUAUACACACACGCACACACAGAGUCUAUAUAUACAUACACACACACACACACAUAAGGACUGUGUAGAUAUGUGUGUGUUUGUGUAUAUAUAUAUAUAAAUACAGUCCUUAUGUGUUUAAAUAUAUAUUUACUGUCCUUAUUUAUGUGGGUUUGUGUGUGUGUGUGUGUGUGUGUGUGUGUGUGUGUACACACUGCCAGAGGUUUGAAAAGGUUAAGAUUUUAUCAGUAAGAAAAAACCAGUCACCUCUGCCAGCCCAUGCACCAUGUUGUCCUGCCGCUCCGCUGUCCCAUUCCUCCACCAGUCGCAAUGGAAGAAGAGAUUGCCGCACUGGUGAUUGACAAUGGCUCCAGCAUGUGCAAAGCUGGCUUUGCUGGGGACGACAACCCCCAGCCAUGUUUCCUUCCAUCAUCGGUGCCCCCGGCACCAGGGCAUGAUGGUGGGCAUGGGCCAGAGGGACUCCUAUGUGGGCUACAUGGCUGAGAGCAAGCACAGCAUCCUGACCCUGAAGUACCCCCAUUAAGCAUGGUAUCAUGACCAACUGGGAUGACAUAGAGAAGAUCUGGCAUCACACCUUCUACAAGGGACUGCACAUGGCCUUGGAGGAGCACCUGGUGCUGCUGACCGAGGACCCCCUGAACCUCAAGGCCAACAGAGAGAAGAUGACUCAGAUCAUGUUUGAUACCUUCAACACCCUGGCCAUGUACGUGGCCAUCCAGGCUAUGCUGUCCCUCUACACCUGUGGUUGCACACUGGCAUUGUCAUGGGCUCUGGAGAUGGGGUCACCCACAUGGUGCCCAUCUAUAAGGGCUACGCCCUCCCUGACACCAUUCUGCAUCUGGACCUGGCUGGCCAGGACCUGACCAACUACCUCAUGAAGAUCCUUACCAAGGUUGGCUAUAGCUUCAGCACCACUGCCGAGCGGGAGAUCAGACACUACGUCAAGGAGAAACUGUGCUAUGUUGCCCUGGACUUUGAGCAGUAGAUGGCCACUGCCACAUCCUCCUCCUCCCUGGAGAAGAGAUAUGAGCUGCCUGAUGGCCAUGUCAUCACCAUCGGCAAUGAGGUUGCGGUGUCCCGAGGCGCUGUUCCAGCCUUCCUUCCUGGACAUGGAAUCUUGCAGCAUCCACCCAGACCAUCUUCAACUCCAUCAUGAAGUGUGACGUGGACAUCCGCAAAGACCUGUAGGCCAACACGGUGCUAUCUGGUGGCAACAUGUACCCAGGCAUCACCGACAGGAUGCAGAAGGAGAUCACCACCCUGGCACCUAGCACCAUGAAGAUCAAGAUGAUCGCACCCCCAGAGCACAAGUACUCGCUGUGGAUCAGCGGCUCCUUCCUGGCCUCACUGUCAGCCUUCCAGCAGAUGUGGAUUAGCAAGCAAUAGUACAAUGACUCGGCCCCCUCCAUCGUCCACCGCAAAUGCUUCUAAAUGGACUGCGAGCAGAUGGCUAGCAAUUGUUUCAUGGGUUAAUUCAGAAGUAAAAAUUUGCCCCUGGCAAAUGCAUACACCUCAUGCUAGCCUCACCAAACUGGAAUAAGCCUUAGAAAAUAAGUUGUCUUUGAAGCUUGUAUCUGAUAUCAGCACUGGAUUGUAGAACUUGUUCCUGAUUUUGACAUUGUAUUCAAGUUAACUGUUCCCCUUGGUAUCUGUACAUAUCUUUGAUUUCAGUCUUUAGUACAUGUGGCUUGGUCACUUCAUGGCUAAAAACAUACUUGUGGAAGACAAGUCUGGCUUGGUGAGUCUGCAUGGCCAGCAGUCUCUGAUCUGUGCAGGGUAUUAAUGUGUCAGGACUGAGUGUUCUGGGAUUUGUCUACAGGCUGGUAAGGGCUCCUUAACCAGUUGUUGCUGUCCUGUCGGUCUGUCAGGGUUGGAAAGUCCAAGCCAUAGGACCCAGUUUCCUUUCUUAGCUUCUGUUGUCUGCCAGAACACCAUGGGCUGUUACUUGCCUUGAGUUGGAAGCGGUUUGCAUUUAUACCUAUAAAUGUAUUCAUCCUUUUAAUUUAUGUAAAGUUUUUUUGUAUGCAAUUCUCGAUCUUUAAAGAGAUGACAACAAAUUUUGGUUUUCUACUGUUACGUGAGAACAUUAGGCCCCAGCAAUAUAUCAUUGUGUAUGGAAAAAUAAAAGUGCUGCCAGAACCAAAAAAACAUUAAUUUCUAAAAGGUCAUUUAGAUGAUUUCCAUGAGAGACUUUUUAAUGUUCUUCACGUGUUAGGAUUAUUAUUGAUAAUCCUUUUCAGAUUAUUAGUAAACAGUUUGCCCUCAAGUAUUUAUUCAUGCUAAUAUUUACUUUGUAAAAUGUGCUUCUUACAGGAAUAUAAAUAGUUUCUGGAAAGGACACUGACAACUUCAAAGCAAAAUGAAGUUCUUUCUGUUGCUUUUCACCAUUGGGUUCUGCUGGGCUCAGUAUUCCCCAAAUACACAACAAGGACGGACAUCUAUUGUUCAUCUGUUUGAAUGGCGAUGGGUUGAUAUUGCUCUUGAAUGUGAGCGAUAUUUAGCUCCGAAGGGAUUUGGAGGGGUUCAGGUCUCUCCACCAAAUGAAAAUGUUGCAAUUCACAACCCUUUCAGACCUUGGUGGGAAAGAUACCAACCAGUUAGCUAUAAAUUAUGCACAAGAUCUGGAAAUGAAGAUGAAUUUAGAAACAUGGUGACUAGAUGUAACAAUGUUGGGGUUCGUAUUUAUGUGGAUGCUGUAAUUAAUCAUAUGUCUGGUAAUGCUGUGAGUGCAGGAACAAGCAGUACCUGUGGAAGUUACUUCAACCCUGGAAGUAGGGACUUUCCAGCAGUCCCAUAUUCUGGAUGGGAUUUUAAUGAUGGUAAAUGUAAAACUGGAAGUGGAGAUAUCGAGAACUACAAUGAUGCUACUCAGGUCAGAGAUUGUCGUCUGGUUGGUCUUCUUGAUCUUGCACUGGAGAAAGAUUAUGUGCGUUCCAAGAUUGCCAAAUAUAUGAAUCAUCUCAUUGACAUUGGUGUUGCAGGGUUCAGACUUGAUGCUUCCAAGCACAUGUGGCCUGGAGACAUAAAGGCAAUUUUGGACAAACUGCAUAAUCUAAACAGUAACUGGUUCCCUGCAGGAAGUAAACCUUUCAUUUACCAGGAGGUAAUUGAUCUGGGUGGUGAGCCAAUUAAAAGCAGUGACUACUUUGGAAAUGGCCGGGUGACAGAAUUCAAGUAUGGUGCAAAACUUGGCACAGUUAUUGGCAAGUGGAAUGGAGAGAAGAUGUCUUACUUAAAGAACUGGGGAGAAGGUUGGGGUUUCAUGCCUUCUGACAGAGCACUUGUCUUUGUGGAUAACCAUGACAAUCAACGAGGACAUGGGGCUGGAGGAGCCUCUAUUCUUACCUUCUGGGAUGCUAGGCUGUAUAAAAUGGCAGUUGGAUUUAUGCUUGCUCAUCCUUAUGGAUUUACACGAGUAAUGUCAAGCUACCGUUGGCCAAGACAGUUUCAAAAUGGAAACGAACAUGGUUAAUUUCCGCAAUGUAGUGGAUGGCCAGCCUUUUACAAACUGGUAUGAUAAUGGGAGCAACCAAGUGGCUUUUGGGAGAGGAAACAGAGGAUUCAUUGUUUUCAACAAUGAUGACUGGACAUUUUCUUUAACUUUGCAAACUGGUCUUCCUGCUGGCACAUACUGUGAUGUCAUUUCUGGAGAUAAAAUUAAUGGCAAUUGCACAGGCAUUAAAAUCUACGUUUCUGACGAUGGCAAAGCUCAUUUUUCUAUUAGUAACUCUGCUGAAGAUCCAUUUGUUGCAAUUCAUGCUGAAUCUAAAUUAUAAAAUUUAAAAUUAAAUGCAUAUCCUCAAAAC
This 4718-nucleotide small RNA is filed under the name Pan troglodytes (chimpanzee). RNAcentral's name for it is "processed transcript". Lineage: Eukaryota; Metazoa; Chordata; Mammalia; Primates; Hominidae. The record is from RNAcentral.